RNAcentral lists this transfer RNA (75 nucleotides) under Coemansia erecta. Its description in RNAcentral is "tRNA-Lys". It matches the Rfam family "tRNA". Rfam says of the family: Transfer RNA (tRNA) molecules are approximately 80 nucleotides in length. Their secondary structure includes four short double-helical elements and three loops (D, anti-codon, and T loops). Further hydrogen bonds mediate the characteristic L-shaped molecular structure. tRNAs have two regions of fundamental functional importance: the anti-codon, which is responsible for specific mRNA codon recognition, and the 3' end, to which the tRNAs corresponding amino acid is attached (by aminoacyl-tRNA synthetases). tRNAs cope with the degeneracy of the genetic code in two manners: having more than one tRNA (with a specific anti-codon) for a particular amino acid; and 'wobble' base-pairing, i.e. permitting non-standard base-pairing at the 3rd anti-codon position. Lineage: Eukaryota; Fungi; Kickxellomycota; Kickxellomycetes; Kickxellales; Kickxellaceae. The record is from RNAcentral. RNAcentral also lists the same sequence under 5 other names.
GCCCCGUUAGCUCAGUUGGUUCAGAGCGUUCGGCUUUUAACCGAAAUGUCGUGGGUUCGACCCCCACACGGGGCG